Molecule: microRNA, 23 nt
Filed under: Homo sapiens (human)
Lineage: Eukaryota; Metazoa; Chordata; Mammalia; Primates; Hominidae
Description: hsa-miR-4683
Source: miRBase by way of RNAcentral
UGGAGAUCCAGUGCUCGCCCGAU